GAUGAACGCUAGCGGCAGGCCUAACACAUGCAAGUCGAGGGGCAGCAUAAUGAAUACUUCGGUAUUUAUGGUGGCGACCGGCGGACGGGUGCGUAACGCGUAUGCAACCUACCUAUAACAGGGGGAUAAUCGAGAGAAAUUUUGUCUAAUACCCCGUAAUACUUAAUGUGGCAUCAUAUUAAGUUGAAAGAUUUAUUGGUUAUAGAUGGGCAUGCGUAACAUUAGAUAGAUGGUAAGGUAACGGCUUACCAUGUCAAUGAUGUUUAGGGGAACUGAGAGGUUAAUCCCCCACACUGGUACUGAGACACGGACCAGACUCCUACGGGAGGCAGCAGUGAGGAAUAUUGGUCAAUGGAAGGAAUUCUGAACCAGCCAUGCCGCGUGCAGGACGACGGCUCUAUGAGUUGUAAACUGCUUUUGUAAAGGAAUAAAAAAGGGGACGUGUCCUCUCUUGCAUGUACUUUACGAAUAAGGAUCGGCUAACUCCGUGCCAGCAGCCGCGGUAAUACGGAGGAUUCGAGCGUUAUCCGGAUUUAUUGGGUUUAAAGGGUGCGUAGGUUGUAAUUUAAGUUAGUGGUCAAAUGUAGUGGCUUAACCAUUUAUUCGCCAUUAAUACUGAAUUACUGGAGUAUGUAUGCAGCAGGCGGAAUGUGUAGUGUAGCGGUGAAAUGCUUAGAUAUUACACAGAACACCGAUUGCGAAGGCAGCUUGCUAAACCAUAACUGACACUGAUGCACGAAAGCGUGGGUAGCGAAACGGGAUUAGAUACCCCGGUAGUCCACGCAGUAAACGAUGAUAACUCGUUGUCGGCGAUAUACCGUCCGGUGACCAGCCAAAGCGAUAAGUUAUCCCCUGGGGAGUACGACCCCAGGGUUGAAACUCAAAGGAUUGACGGGGGCCCCCACAGCGGAGGAACAUGUGGUCUAUUCCAUGAUCCCCAGAACCUUACCGGCUGAAGUUAUGCCAUUCAAAUUGAUUUCC
This 981-nucleotide ribosomal RNA is filed under the name uncultured bacterium. Its description in RNAcentral is "bacterial SSU rRNA". It matches the Rfam family "Bacterial small subunit ribosomal RNA", at positions 28 to 1018 of the family's 1533-position model. The record is from RNAcentral.